RNAcentral lists this ribosomal RNA (1613 nucleotides) under Bacillus cereus. RNAcentral describes it as "bacterial LSU rRNA". It matches the Rfam family "Bacterial large subunit ribosomal RNA", at positions 1304 to 2925 of the family's 2925-position model. The record is from RNAcentral. Lineage: Bacteria; Bacillati; Bacillota; Bacilli; Caryophanales; Bacillaceae.
GAGUAGCGAAAGACGGGUGAGAAUCCCGUCACCGAAUGCCUAAGGUUUCCUGAGGAAGGCUCGUCCGCUCAGGGUUAGUCAGGACCUAAGCCGAGGCCGACAGGCGUAGGCGAUGGACAACAGGUUGAUAUUCCUGUACCACCUCUUUAUCGUUUGAGCAAUGGAGGGACGCAGAAGGAUAGAAGAAGCGUGCGAUUGGUUGUGCACGUCCAAGCAGUUAGGCUGAUAAGUAGGCAAAUCCGCUUAUCGUGAAGGCUGAGCUGUGAUGGGGAAGCUCCUUAUGGAGCGAAGUCUUUGAUUCCCCGCUGCCAAGAAAAGCUUCUAGCGAGAUAAAAGGUGCCUGUACCGCAAACCGACACAGGUAGGCGAGGAGGAAUCCUAAGGUGUGCGAGAGAACUCUGGUUAAGGAACUCGGCAAAAUGACCCCGUAACUUCGGGAGAAGGGGUGCUUUCUUAACGGAAAGCCGCAGUGAAUAGGCCCAAGCGACUGUUUAGCAAAAACACAGCUCUCUGCGAAGCCGUAAGGCGAAGUAUAGGGGGUGACACCUGCCCGGUGCUGGAAGGUUAAGGAGAGGGGUUAGCGUAAGCGAAGCUCUGAACUGAAGCCCCAGUAAACGGCGGCCGUAACUAUAACGGUCCUAAGGUAGCGAAAUUCCUUGUCGGGUAAGUUCCGACCCGCACGAAAGGUGUAACGAUUUGGGCACUGUCUCAACCAGAGACUCGGUGAAAUUAUAGUACCUGUGAAGAUGCAGGUUACCCGCGACAGGACGGAAAGACCCCGUGGAGCUUUACUGUAGCCUGAUAUUGAAUUUUGGUACAGUUUGUACAGGAUAGGCGGGAGCCAUUGAAACCGGAGCGCUAGCUUCGGUGGAGGCGCUGGUGGGAUACCGCCCUGACUGUAUUGAAAUUCUAACCUACGGGUCUUAUCGACCCGGGAGACAGUGUCAGGUGGGCAGUUUGACUGGGGCGGUCGCCUCCUAAAGUGUAACGGAGGCGCCCAAAGGUUCCCUCAGAAUGGUUGGAAAUCAUUCGUAGAGUGCAAAGGCAUAAGGGAGCUUGACUGCGAGACCUACAAGUCGAGCAGGGACGAAAGUCGGGCUUAGUGAUCCGGUGGUUCCGCAUGGAAGGGCCAUCGCUCAACGGAUAAAAGCUACCCCGGGGAUAACAGGCUUAUCUCCCCCAAGAGUCCACAUCGACGGGGAGGUUUGGCACCUCGAUGUCGGCUCAUCGCAUCCUGGGGCUGUAGUCGGUCCCAAGGGUUGGGCUGUUCGCCCAUUAAAGCGGUACGCGAGCUGGGUUCAGAACGUCGUGAGACAGUUCGGUCCCUAUCCGUCGUGGGCGUAGGAAAUUUGAGAGGAGCUGUCCUUAGUACGAGAGGACCGGGAUGGACGCACCGCUGGUGUACCAGUUGUUCUGCCAAGGGCAUAGCUGGGUAGCUAUGUGCGGAAGGGAUAAGUGCUGAAAGCAUCUAAGCAUGAAGCCCCCCUCAAGAUGAGAUUUCCCAUAGCGUAAGCUAGUAAGAUCCCUGAAAGAUGAUCAGGUUGAUAGGUUCGAGGUGGAAGCAUGGUGACAUGUGGAGCUGACGAAUACUAAUAGAUCGAGGACUUAACCAU